CCUCGAGUUUUCAGAUGUUCGUGAGAUAUUUCGAGCAGUAAAGACAAUUUUGAAGGAGGCACGCAUGGACCAAGCUAAGUCCAAGCAGCUUUUCCACUUA
Molecule: long non-coding RNA, 100 nt
Organism: Selaginella moellendorffii
Lineage: Eukaryota; Viridiplantae; Streptophyta; Lycopodiopsida; Selaginellales; Selaginellaceae
Exons: 2
Source: RefSeq, a predicted model, not a curated record